UUGUUGGUAAGGUAAAAGCUUACCAAGGCUUCGAUCAGUAGCUGGUCUGAGAGGACGACCAGCCACACUGGGACUGAGACACGGCCCAGACUCCUACGGGAGGCAGCAGUGGGGAAUUUUGGACAAUGGGGGCAACCCUGAUCCAGCCAUGCCGCGUGAGUGAAGAAGGCCUUCGGGUUGUAAAGCUCUUUCAGCCGGAACGAAACGGUUACGGAUAACACCCGUGACUACUGACGGUACCGGAAGAAGAAGCACCGGCUAACUACGUGCCAGCAGCCGCGGUAAUACGUAGGGUGCGAGCGUUAAUCGGAAUUACUGGGCGUAAAGCGUGCGCAGGUGGUUUUGUAAGUCAGAUGUGAAAGCCCCGGGCUCAACCUGGGAACUGCGUUUGAAACUACAAGACUAGAGUGUGGCAGAGGGGGGUGGAAUUCCGCGUGUAGCAGUGAAAUGCGUAGAGAUGUGGAGGAACACCGAUGGCGAAGGCAGCCCCCUGGGUCAACACUGACGCUCAGGCACGAAAGCAUGGGGAGCAAACAGGAUUAGAUACCCUGGUAGUCCAUGCCUUAAACGAUGUCAACUAGUUGUCGGGCCUUUACGGGCUUGGUAACGUAGCUAACGCGUGAAGUUGACCGCCUGGGGAGUACGAUCGCAAGAUUAAAACUCAAAUGAAUUGACGGGGACCCGCACAAGCGGUGGAUUAUGUGGAUUAAUUCGAUGCAACGCGAAAAACCUUACCUACCCUUGACAUGUAUCGAAGCCCGCAGAAAAGCGGGGGUGCCCGAAAGGGAACGAUAACACAGGUGCUGCAUGGCUGUCGUCAGCUCGUGUCGUGAGAUGUUGGGUUAAGUCCCGCAACGAGCGCAACCCUUGUCAUUAAUUGCCAUCAUUUAGUUGGGCACUUUAAUGAGACUGCCGG
RNAcentral lists this ribosomal RNA (916 nucleotides) under uncultured bacterium. RNAcentral describes it as "bacterial SSU rRNA". It matches the Rfam family "Bacterial small subunit ribosomal RNA", at positions 246 to 1155 of the family's 1533-position model. The record is from RNAcentral.